RNAcentral lists this ribosomal RNA (376 nucleotides) under uncultured Nitrososphaerota archaeon. Its description in RNAcentral is "bacterial SSU rRNA". It matches the Rfam family "Archaeal small subunit ribosomal RNA", at positions 505 to 881 of the family's 1478-position model. Lineage: Archaea; Thermoproteati; Nitrososphaerota. The record is from RNAcentral.
UGGGCCUAAAGCAUCCGUAGCCGGCUGUUCAAGUUUCCGGUUAAAUCCACACGCUUAACGUAUGGGCUGCCGGAAAUACUGUUCAGCUAGGGAGUGGGAGAGGUGGACGGUACUCGGUAGGAAGGGGUAAAAUCCUUUGAUCUAUUGAUGACCACCUGUGGCGAAGGCGGUCCACCAGAACACGUUCGACGGUGAGGGAUGAAAGCUGGGGGAGCAAACCGGAUUAGAUACCCGGGUAGUCCCAGCUGUAAACGAUGCAGACUCGGUGAUGCAUUGGCUUGUGGCCAGUGCAGUGCCGCAGGGAAGCCGUUAAGUUUGCCGCCUGGGAAGUACGUACGCAAGUAUGAAACUUAAAGGAAUUGGCGGGGGAGCACAA